RNAcentral lists this ribosomal RNA (498 nucleotides) under uncultured bacterium. RNAcentral describes it as "partial 16S ribosomal RNA". It matches the Rfam family "Bacterial small subunit ribosomal RNA", at positions 30 to 523 of the family's 1533-position model. The record is from RNAcentral.
AUUGAACGCUGGCGGCAUGCCUUACACAUGCAAGUCGAACGGUAACAGGUCUUCGGAUGCUGACGAGUGGCGAACGGGUGAGUAAUGCAUCGGAACGUGCCCAGUUGUGGGGGAUAACUGCUCGAAAGAGCAGCUAAUACCGCAUACGACCUGAGGGUGAAAGCGGGGGAUCGCAAGACCUCGCGCAAUUGGAGCGGCCGAUGUCAGAUUAGGUAGUUGGUGGGGUAAAGGCCUACCAAGCCGACGAUCGGUAGUUGGUCUGAGAGGACGACCAGCCACACUGGGACUGGGACACGGCCCAGACUCCUACGGGAGGCAGCAGUGGGGAAUUUUGGACAAUGGGCGAAAGCCUGAUCCAGCAAUGCCGCGUGCAGGAAGAAGGCCUUCGGGUUGUAAACUGCUUUUGUCAGGGAAGAAAUCCUCUGGGUUAAUACCCCGGGGGGAUGACGGUACCUGAAGAAUAAGCACCGGCUAACUACGUGCCAGCCGCCGCCGUAA